RNAcentral lists this ribosomal RNA (390 nucleotides) under Triticum aestivum (bread wheat). Its description in RNAcentral is "partial small subunit ribosomal RNA". Lineage: Eukaryota; Viridiplantae; Streptophyta; Magnoliopsida; Poales; Poaceae. The record is from RNAcentral.
AUGCAUUGGAAACUUUCUGAGCAUCGAGCACGGGAUCUUGCUGACCAAAACGAGGAAUUAUGUCAUAUUGGAGAUCUUGUGUGGAACCUCCGCGGAUACUGCAUAAAUAUACUUUAUGUAGAGCUCUGGCACUGGUGGUCUCUGAAACUGGACACUAACAAUUCAUGUUUCAGUAAGCAUCUUUUGCAUGAAGGUAAGCAUUGGUUUUCAGAACUCUGUUCAUGCUCUAUUACUUCUGCUCCUGUACUACAACAUUCUUGGCUUGCUACUAUGGCUGCACCUCUGUGUCGGAGAAUGCGGGAAAUGGGUAUCGGUCUUCACUUAAUACAGUUCGAGCAAUUACUGUCGUUUGAUAAAGCUAGCAUCAAUGAUCAAUGGCAACUUGACUAG